Molecule: non-coding RNA, 495 nt
Organism: Macaca mulatta (Rhesus monkey)
Lineage: Eukaryota; Metazoa; Chordata; Mammalia; Primates; Cercopithecidae
Source: RefSeq, a predicted model, not a curated record
UGUAAUAGGGAAAAACAUUUGCUGAGCCAGCGAAUUAUGUUGCUGCUUUAAAAAAAAAGAAAAAGAAAAAGAAAAUGGUUUUUUUUUCCUUUUGUUUUGCUUCCUUUUGCAGUGAUGAGGUGCUAGCUUAGCCCACACUGUGUGACCUUUGUUAGAAAAGUCACCUGCUGUUACAAGUUACUCUGGUCUCCUGUUGUUACAGACUUACCUCCAUUGUGUUCUACAUGUAUAAUUUGAAUUCAUAUGGGAUUUCACAGGACCCCUGCUCUUUUCUUUAUAAUUUAAGGAAAUAGAAAAAUAGACUUCCUAUCUGAGGGAUAUCAGGCGUCAUUUUUAUUGUCACGGAAGUCAUACUUCCUAGAAGACCUAUGCAUCCCACAGGAUUUUUUGAGAAUCGAAUAUAAAAUCUUUACAAAUAAAAAAUUAGGCAUGCAGACACAUUGGAAGGCAAGGAGAGUGGAAUUUAUUAAAAGAAAGCUCUCAGCAAAAAAAAAA